GCAGGACCAAUGAUGGUAGCAAAUCCAAGGAACAGGAUCUCAGCAGGGUGAGCGUAUUCUGAUGUUAGUCCAAAAGGUGUAGCAUAUUCAUGAUGCACGCUGUGGACAUUCUUGUACAGCCAUUUGGUGUGCAAAAUUCUAUGCCCCCAGUAGAAAACAAAAUCCUCAAUAAUGAAGUAGAAUAUUAUCUGGCCGAAAACUACUUUCCAGGAUGGCAAUGGAAGAGUGCUUCUCAUUCCCAUACGCUUGAAGACGGGAUAAGAAACAAGCAUAACU
Molecule: unclassified non-coding RNA, 276 nt
Filed under: Hevea brasiliensis (rubber tree)
Lineage: Eukaryota; Viridiplantae; Streptophyta; Magnoliopsida; Malpighiales; Euphorbiaceae
Source: RNAcentral